UACGUAGGGUGCGAGCGUUAAUCGGAAUUACUGGGCGUAAAGCGUGCGCAGGCGGUUCGUCGUGUCCGAUGUGAAAGCCCCGGGCUCAACCUGGGAAUGGCAUUGGAAACUGGCGGACUCGAGUGUGGCAGAGGGGGGUGGAAUUCCGCGUGUAGCAGUGAAAUGCGUAGAGAUGCGGAGGAACACCGAUGGCGAAGGCAGCCCCCUGGGCUAACACUGACGCUCCAGGCACGAAAGCGUGGGGAGCAAACAGG
Molecule: ribosomal RNA, 254 nt
Filed under: uncultured bacterium
Lineage: Bacteria
Description: partial 16S ribosomal RNA
Rfam family: Bacterial small subunit ribosomal RNA
Source: RNAcentral